RNAcentral lists this ribosomal RNA (761 nucleotides) under uncultured Hyphomicrobiales bacterium. RNAcentral describes it as "bacterial SSU rRNA". It matches the Rfam family "Bacterial small subunit ribosomal RNA", at positions 8 to 796 of the family's 1533-position model. The record is from RNAcentral. Lineage: Bacteria; Pseudomonadati; Pseudomonadota; Alphaproteobacteria; Hyphomicrobiales.
AGAGUUUGAUCCUGGCUCAGGAUCAACGCUGGCGGCGUGCCUAAUGCAUGCAAGUCGCGCGCGGGCCCUUUCGGGUGUCAGCGGCAGACGGGUGAGUAACGCGUGGGAACGUACCCUUCAGUUCGGAAUAACCCAGGGAAACUUGGGCUAAUACCGGAUACGUCCUGCCCCUUAAACAAGGGUAGGAGAAAGGUUUACUGCUGAAGGAUCGGCCCGCGUCGGAUUAGCUAGUUGGUGAGGUAACGGCCCACCAAGGCAACGAUCCGUAGCUGGUCUGAGAGGAUGAUCAGCCACACUGGGACUGAGACACGGCCCAGACUCCUACGGGAGGCAGCAGUGGGGAAUAUUGGACAAUGGGCGCAAGCCUGAUCCAGCCAUGCCGCGUGAGUGAAGAAGGCCCUAGGGUUGUAAAGCUCUUUCAGCGGGGACGAUAAUGACGGUACCCGCAGAAGAAGCCCCGGCUAACUUCGUGCCAGCAGCCGCGGUAAUACGAAGGGGGCUAGCGUUGUUCGGAAUUACUGGGCGUAAAGCGCGCGUAGGCGGAUAUUUAAGUCAGGGGUGAAAUCCCAGGGCUCAACCCUGGAACUGCCUUUGAUACUGGAUGUCUGGAGUUCGGGAGAGGUGAGUGGAAUUCCGAGUGUAGAGGUGAAAUUCGUAGAUAUUCGGAGGAACACCAGAAGCGAAGGCGGCUCACUGGCCCGAUACUGACGCUGAGGCGCGAAAGCGUGGGGAGCAAACAGGAUUAGAUACCCCCGUAGUCC